Molecule: ribosomal RNA, 253 nt
Filed under: uncultured bacterium
Lineage: Bacteria
Description: partial 16S ribosomal RNA
Rfam family: Bacterial small subunit ribosomal RNA
Source: RNAcentral
UACGUAGGCAGCAAGCGUUGUUCGGAAUUACUGGGCGUAAAGAGUGUGUAGGCGGUGCUCUAAGUUUGGUGUGAAAUCUCCCGGCUCAACUGGGAGGGUGCGCCGAAUACUGAGAGGCUAGAGUGCGGGAGAGGAAAGUGGAAUUCCUGGUGUAGCGGUGAAAUGCGUAGAUAUCAGGAGGAACACCGGUGGUGUAAACGGCUUUCUGGACCGUAACUGACGCUGAGGCACGAAAGCGUGGGUAGCAAACAGG